CCACGCUGAAAAGGCAACCCUAACCCUACUGCUGGGGGAAAUCAAAGCCGGAAAGAAAUCUCCCACCUCCACCCAAACAGUCCCGGUGUCCCCUUUAGGACAACAAAGAGGACGCUCGCCGCCUGGGGCUGGCGCUGGCGCCCCCCACUGGGGGCCAGGAGAGAGGUGGUGUAGUCCGGCCGUCGUGGACCAGGCCCAGGAUAAAUGGAGGCAAGGGUCAGAAGACCUGGCUGGUCCGACUGAUGCAGCGAAAGAGGACCCAGAAGCCACCCGGACUGGAAGCUAUCCUGAAGCUGUGAGGGUGGCAGAGUGGAGAGUCCAGAGCAGCAUUGGUGAAGAUGUGGCACCUGUGCAGAACCAGCACUCAAGGAGCUGCUCCAUUCCCCCUCUUUCCCCAUCUGAGGACAUUUUUAGCAUGUCCCCCCCCCCCCCCCCUGUUCAGCCCCCCACUCUGGGCAUGGGGGAGCUAACAAACAGCUUGUAUUUGCCCUCAAACUGGGAAAAAGGUUCGUCAAUGCUGAUCUGGAGAGCUGAACUUGGAGUUCAGGAGGCCUGAGUUCAAGUUCCACCUCUAAAACCUACUGGCUGUGGGACCCUGGGCCAGUCAUUGUAUUUUCAGGGUCCCAGACAACUCUUGAAGACUGCAAGUGGAGAUGUUGAUCUGUGGUGGUGAACAGAGUUUUCAUACUGAGAGUUCCUUUUAUUGAUAAAAUUACAGAUUUAGACAAAAAGAAAAAAAAAACCCAAACCCAAACCAAAGUGCUGCUCCCACAUGACCUCUGCCUACUCCUCACCCUCUGCUUCCCCCCCACCCCCCUUGUCUCUCUGUCCUCUCUUUCUCCAUUUCUCUCUUUCAGUCUCUUUGGCCCUGUCUCUGUCUCUGCCUCUCCCUCCAUGAAGUCAGAGUAGAUUCUUUGUGAGGUACUUUCCAACAGUGAUAAUUGGCGAGCCAGCAGAGUGUGAUCAUCCAGUGGGGCCCCACUGGAAGAACAGUAGUGAGUGACCAGGAUG
This 1011-nucleotide long non-coding RNA is filed under the name Monodelphis domestica (gray short-tailed opossum). Its description in RNAcentral is "lncRNA (ENSMODG00000035696.2)". Lineage: Eukaryota; Metazoa; Chordata; Mammalia; Didelphimorphia; Didelphidae. The record is from RNAcentral.